This 1506-nucleotide ribosomal RNA is filed under the name uncultured Shigella sp. Its description in RNAcentral is "bacterial SSU rRNA". It matches the Rfam family "Bacterial small subunit ribosomal RNA". Lineage: Bacteria; Pseudomonadati; Pseudomonadota; Gammaproteobacteria; Enterobacterales; Enterobacteriaceae. The record is from RNAcentral.
AGAAUUUGAUCCUGGCUCAGAUUGAACGCUGGCGGCAGGCCUAACACAUGCAAGUCGAACGGUAACAGGAAGCAGCUUGCUGCUUCGCUGACGAGUGGCGGACGGGUGAGUAAUGUCUGGGAAGCUGCCUGAUGGAGGGGGAUAACUACUGGAAACGGUAGCUAAUACCGCAUAAUGUCGCAAGACCAAAGAGGGGGACCUUCGGGCCUCUUGCCAUCGGAUGUGCCCAGAUGGGAUUAGCUUGUUGGUGGGGUAACGGCUCACCAAGGCGACGAUCCCUAGCUGGUCUGAGAGGAUGACCAGCCACACUGGAACUGAGACACGGUCCAGACUCCUACGGGAGGCAGCAGUGGGGAAUAUUGCACAAUGGGCGCAAGCCUGAUGCAGCCAUGCCGCGUGUAUGAAGAAGGCCUUCGGGUUGUAAAGUACUUUCAGCGGGGAGGAAGGGAGUAAAGUUAAUACCUUUGCUCAUUGACGUUACCCGCAGAAGAAGCACCGGCUAACUCCGUGCCAGCAGCCGCGGUAAUACGGAGGGUGCAAGCGUUAAUCGGAAUUACUGGGCGUAAAGCGCACGCAGGCGGUUUGUUAAGUCAGAUGUGAAAUCCCCGGGCUCAACCUGGGAACUGCAUCUGAUACUGGCAAGCUUGAGUCUCGUAGAGGGGGGUAGAAUUCCAGGUGUAGCGGUGAAAUGCGUAGAGAUCUGGAGGAAUACCGGUGGCGAAGGCGGCCCCCUGGACGAAGACUGACGCUCAGGUGCGAAAGCGUGGNGGAGCAAACGGGAUUAGAUACCCUGGUAGUCCACGCCGUAAACGAUGUCGACUUGGAGGUUGUGCCCUUGAGGCGUGGCUUCCGGAGCUAACGCGUUAAGUCGACCGCCUGGGGAGUACGGCCGCAAGGUUAAAACUCAAAUGAAUUGACGGGGGCCCGCACAAGCGGUGGAGCAUGUGGUUUAAUUCGAUGCAACGCGAAGAACCUUACCUGGUCUUGACAUCCACGGAAGUUUUCAGAGAUGAGAAUGUGCCUUCGGGAACCGUGAGACAGGUGCUGCAUGGCUGUCGUCAGCUCGUGUUGUGAAAUGUUGGGUUAAGUCCCGCAACGAGCGCAACCCUUAUCCUUUGUUGCCAGCGGUCCGGCCGGGAACUCAAAGGAGACUGCCAGUGAUAAACUGGAGGAAGGUGGGGAUGACGUCAAGUCAUCAUGGCCCUUACGACCAGGGCUACACACGUGCUACAAUGGCGCAUACAAAGAGAAGCGACCUCGCGAGAGCAAGCGGACCUCAUAAAGUGCGUCGUAGUCCGGAUUGGAGUCUGCAACUCGACUCCAUGAAGUCGGAAUCGCUAGUAAUCGUGGAUCAGAAUGCCACGGUGAAUACGUUCCCGGGCCUUGUACACACCGCCCGUCACACCAUGGGAGUGGGUUGCAAAAGAAGUAGGUAGCUUAACCUUCGGGAGGGCGCUUACCACUUUGUGAUUCAUGACUGGGGUGAAGUCGUAACAAGGUAGCCGU